UAACGGCGAGUGAAGCGGCAACAGCUCAAAUUUGAAAUCUGGCGCCCGCCCCGGGGGCCCGAGUUGUAAUUUGCAGAGGAUGCUUCUGGCGAGGUGCCUUCCAAGUUCCCUAGAACGGGACGCCGCAGAGGGUGAGAGCCCCGUCCGGUCGGCCACCGAGCCUCUGUGAAGCUCCUUCGACGAGUCGAGUAGUUUGGGAAUGCUGCUCUAAACGGGAGGUAUAUGUCUUCUAAAGCUAAAUACCGGCCAGAGACCGAUAGCGCACAAGUAGAGUGAUCGAAAGAUGAAAAGCACUUUGAAAAGAGAGUUAAACAGCACGUGAAAUUGUUGAAAGGGAAGCGCUCGCGACCAGACUUGGGCCCGUCGAGUCACCUGGCGCUCCCGCCAGGGCACUUCGGCAGGCCCAGGCCAGCAUCGGCCCGCGCGGGGGACAAAGGCCCCGGGAAACGUGGCUCCCUCGGGGAGUGUUAUAGCCCGUCGCGCAAUGCCUGGGGCGGGCCGAGGCCCGCGCACGCAAGUGCAAGGAUGCUGGCGUAAUGGUCCCCAGCGACCCGUCUUGAAACACGGACCAAGGAGUCGUCCUCGUAUGCGAGUGUUCGGGUGCGAAGCCCCUACGCGCAAUGAAAGUGAACGCUGGUGAGAGCCCCACGGGCGCAUCACCGAUCGAUCCUGAUGUUCUCGGAUGGAUUUGAGUAGGAGCAUACGGGGCCGGACCCGAAAGAAGGUGAACUAUGCCUGUGUAGGGUGAAGCCAGAGGAAACUCUGGUGGAGGCUCGCAGCGGUUCUGACGUGCAAAUCGAUCGUCAAACAUGGGCAUGGGGGCGAAAGACUAAUCGAACCUUCUAGUAGCUGGUUUCCGCCGAAGUUUCCCUCAGGAUAGCAGUGUUGGUCUCAGUUUUAUGAGUAAAGCGAAUGAUUAGGGACUCGGGGGCUGUAUGCGGCCUUCAUCCAUUCUCAAACUUUAAAUAUGUAAGAAGCCCUUGUUACUUUGCUGAACGUGGGCGUUCGAAUGCAGCAGCACUAGUGGGCCAUUUUUGGUAAGCAGAACUGGCGAUGCGGGAUGAACCGAACGCGAGGUUAAGGUGCCGGA
This 1090-nucleotide ribosomal RNA is filed under the name Orbiocrella sp. BCC33248. Its description in RNAcentral is "eukaryotic LSU rRNA". It matches the Rfam family "Eukaryotic large subunit ribosomal RNA", at positions 84 to 1192 of the family's 3401-position model. Lineage: Eukaryota; Fungi; Ascomycota; Sordariomycetes; Hypocreales; Clavicipitaceae. The record is from RNAcentral.